This 1468-nucleotide long non-coding RNA is filed under the name Anser brachyrhynchus (Pink-footed goose). Its description in RNAcentral is "lncRNA (ENSABRG00000017274.1)". Lineage: Eukaryota; Metazoa; Chordata; Aves; Anseriformes; Anatidae. The record is from RNAcentral.
GUACUCCCAUGGGUUUUGGAAGGAGGUCUAACUCCAUGCACCCUCCCAGCCCCGUGGGUUCAUGUGAUUCCCACCUCACAGCUGGUGAGAUCUGUAGUGAGUAUCUUGAGGCUACAACUUCACUGACGAAUUGUUCAAGACUAGAUCUCCAAUGGAGGAGAUGUAGAGCACUUCCCACAUGCACUUUGCAGGUGAGCUGUGCCAGAGCUUACAGAGAUGGCCAGAAUAUCCAGGUUACCACUUCACGCUUCCCUCUCAAGGUGGAAAGAGAGGGCAGGAUUCAGAUGCAUAUAGUCAGCUUGGGAGCUCUGUGUAGGACAGAGCAUUGCACAUUUUGCUGCACAACAAUCAUUAACACUCGAAUUUAGGAAGAGCACAUUUACAUUGAGCCUUGAUGCAUUCUUGACCACUGUAUCUCAGAAGUUUACAAUGUUUGGCCUUGACAUGCUAAACCCAUGGAAAACAUUAUGGUUGAUGAUGGAAUAGCUCCAUCUUCUGGAAUAUAACUUACUUUUUUGUCAAACCUUUUUGUUUCCAACAUGGAUCUGUAUGUAAAAGUUAUUUCAAAUCCUAACUUUAAUAUUUUUACUGAUGAAAGGUGAAUCCUGUGUAGUAAAUGUGAUGAAUUCAGGAUAAUAUGAUUUCUGAUAAAAUUAAGAGAGCAUUCCUUGUUUUCUAAUGACAUUGAAAAUGUACAUGCGUUGUUCAGCAUACCAUGUUUCAAACUAACCUUAUUAUUUAAGAAAUAGACAAUCUGAUUUUGAUAAUAACAAUUCAGAUUCUGUUUGAGACUAAACACUCAACAUACACACACUGAACUUUAGUCCUGAUUCAGGGUACUUCAGGUUUCAUGAUAAAAGUCUGUAGUUUUACAAGUGUGUUUGUGGUUAAACACUGUCUGAAACAGGGCGAGAUUGAAGCCCAUGCUGAAGUAACUGAAGUCUGAAAUUACACAGAAGAGGAUACAAGUGAUUCUUAUUACCGUUUCUCAAAACAUUUAAAUGAAUGUUUAAAAGAAAUAUUCCAUGUUAAUCACAUGAUACAUUUUAGGUAGGUAAAUAGUAGUGAAUGCUCCCAUACUUAAAAUUUAAGAUGGUCAAGUGAGAUGUUCAACCAGAGUGGUCAGAACAAAACUAUGAUUACGAUGCUCAACUUCAUUUCUUUUACGUAUCACGGAUACACUGUAUUGCUGUUGCUUGAAAAACAAACAAAACAACAAAAAACUUAUUAAAGAACUAAGUUCUUGUGCAUUCACAAAGGGAAAAGAGCAUUGUAGCUAUAAGUUAUCUACUGAGUGUUGCUGUGUAUUAUUUCUUGAUUUCACAGGAAGGUUAGAGUCAAGAGAAAAAAAUGAAAAAAUAUAUAAGUAUAUACACAUCUACUUUUGAAAUAGUGAUAUCUAAAGUUAAUAUGUAUUCAUGGACACACAAGAAUAGCAGAAGUUUAAAUAAACUUGCUUACCAAAACA